RNAcentral lists this ribosomal RNA (860 nucleotides) under uncultured bacterium. Its description in RNAcentral is "bacterial SSU rRNA". It matches the Rfam family "Bacterial small subunit ribosomal RNA", at positions 12 to 860 of the family's 1533-position model. The record is from RNAcentral.
UUUAUUCCUGGCUCAGGAGGAACGCUAGCGAUAGCCCUAACCACAUGCAAGUUGAGGGGCAGCACUGGCGAGUAGCAAUACUUGCCUGGUGGCGACCGGCGGAUGGGUGAGUAACACGUAUGCAACCUGCUUACAACAAGGGCAUAACUCCGGGAAAUCGGUGCUAAUUCCCUAUAACACAGGGGCCCCGCAUGGGGAUAUUGUUAAAGAUUUAAUCGGUUGUAGAUGGGCAUGCGUUCCAUUAGCUAGUUGGUGAGGUAAUGGCUCACCAAGGCAACGAUGGAUAGGGGAACUGAGAGGUUUAUCCCCCACACUGGUACUGAGACACGGACCAGACUCCUACGGGAGGCAGCAGUGAGGAAUAUUGGUCAAUGGAGGCAACUCUGAACCAGCCACGUCGCGUGAAGGAAGACGGCCCUACGGGUUGUAAACUUCUUUUGUAAGGGAAUAAAGUGAGUCACGCGUGACUUUUUGCAUGUACCUUACGAAUAAGGAUCGGCUAACUCCGUGCCAGCAGCCGCGGUAAUACGGAGGAUCCGAGCGUUAUCCGGAUUUAUUGGGUUUAAAGGGUGCGCAGGCGGGAGACUCAGUCGGUGGUGAAAUCUUGCAGCUCAACUGUAAGCGUGCCAUUGAUACUGGUUUUCUUGAGUGUGGAUGAAGUAGGCGGAAUUUGUGGUGUAGCGGUGAAAUGCAUAGAUAUCACGAGGAACUCCGAUUGCGUAGGCAGCUUACUAAACCAUAACUGACGCUCAUGCACGAAGGCGUGGGGAUCAAACAGGAUUAGAUACCCUGGUAGUCCACGCGGUAAACGAUGAUUACUGGCUGUUUGCGAUACACAGUAAGCGGCCCAGCGAAAGCGU